GGGCCUGUAGCUCAGUGGUAGAGCAAGAUCCUUAUAAGGUCGAGGUCGAAGGUCCGAUCCCUUCCAGGCCCA
RNAcentral lists this transfer RNA (72 nucleotides) under Candidatus Staskawiczbacteria bacterium. RNAcentral describes it as "tRNA-Ile". It matches the Rfam family "tRNA". Rfam says of the family: Transfer RNA (tRNA) molecules are approximately 80 nucleotides in length. Their secondary structure includes four short double-helical elements and three loops (D, anti-codon, and T loops). Lineage: Bacteria; Candidatus Staskawicziibacteriota. The record is from RNAcentral.